AAGAGAGUGACAGAGGACGUGAAACCGAUGAGAUGGAGANACGGAAAGAGGUACCGAAAAGUGCUCNNAUACAGCUGCUAUUNCUGCGUGAUCCUUAUCGNUUGCGAUCCCGCCAGGGUUGCACGGUUUGGCUUCAUGCAGGAUGGCAGUGCAUUUGCGAGUUGCGUGCACUGCGGCUUGUGGUAAGGUCACUUAAAAUGCUUCUAGAGGACUCCAUUCGGAGAAACCUGGUUGCACGGAAGGUGAUCCGAAUUGCAAGUACGGAACUGGCCAACGUGCGUUGCGGUUAUUGUUGUCGUUCCUUGUGUAAAUCGCAUGCGAUUUGCGCUUGCGAAUGGCUUCGAUAGCAGUUUCGUAAACUGUUCCGACCGCAGUGUCAAAGGUGCUCAUCUUUCCGACCCGUCUUGAAACACGGACCAAGGAGUAUACAGUAUGUGCGAGUCAUUGAGUCCUAAACUCAAAGGCGUAAUGAAAGUAAAGAUUCCGUAAGGUUUUGAUAUGCGAUCUCUGGCGCCUUGGUGACAGAGAGCAGCAUAGCCCCGUCUUGAUCGCUUGCGGUAGGGCGGAGGUAGAGCGCAUGCUAUGUGACCCGAAAGAUGGUGAACUAUGCUUGAACAGGAUGAAGCCAGAGGAAACUCUGGUGGAAGUCCGAAGCGAUUCUGACGUGCAAUUCGAUCGUCUGAUUUGAGUAUAGGGGCGAACGACUAAUCGAUCCAUC
This 718-nucleotide ribosomal RNA is filed under the name Aphelenchus avenae. Its description in RNAcentral is "eukaryotic LSU rRNA". It matches the Rfam family "Eukaryotic large subunit ribosomal RNA", at positions 381 to 944 of the family's 3401-position model. Lineage: Eukaryota; Metazoa; Nematoda; Chromadorea; Rhabditida; Aphelenchidae. The record is from RNAcentral.